GACGAACGCUGGCGGCGUGCUUAACACAUGCAAGUCGAACGGAAAGGCCCUGCUUUUGUGGGGUGCUCGAGUGGCGAACGGGUGAGUAACACGUGAGUAACCUGCCCUUGACUUUGGGAUAACUUCAGGAAACUGGGGCUAAUACCGGAUAGGAGCUCCUGCUGCAUGGUGGGGGUUGGAAAGUUUCGGCGGUUGGGGAUGGACUCGCGGCUUAUCAGCUUGUUGGUGGGGUAGUGGCUUACCAAGGCUUUGACGGGUAGCCGGCCUGAGAGGGUGACCGGCAACAAUGGGACUGAGAUACGGCCCAGAAUCCUACGGGAGGCAGCAGGGGGGAAUAUUGCACAAUGGGCGGAAGCCUGAUGCAGCAACGCCGCGUGCGGGAUGACGGCCUUCGGGUUGUAAACCGCUUUCGACUGUGACGAAGCGUGAGUGACGGUAAUGGGUAAAGAAGCACCGGCUAACUACGUG
Molecule: ribosomal RNA, 468 nt
Filed under: uncultured bacterium
Lineage: Bacteria
Description: partial 16S ribosomal RNA
Rfam family: Bacterial small subunit ribosomal RNA
Source: RNAcentral